RNAcentral lists this long non-coding RNA (455 nucleotides) under Pongo abelii (Sumatran orangutan). Its description in RNAcentral is "lincRNA". The record is from RNAcentral. Lineage: Eukaryota; Metazoa; Chordata; Mammalia; Primates; Hominidae.
UCCUGUCUGCCCUUGAUGGAGCCACUGGUGGGGGUACUUGCUGGGGGUCGGCCACUUUCGCCCCUCCCUCGCCAGCCCGCCAGCUCCCUAAGGUUCUGUGGUUUUUUGUCACCACCACACCUCAGUGUUGAGCUAAGUGAGGAGGUCCCCCCAGCAAAUGUAUUGGACGGAAGGAAACGGUGUGCGGGAGGAGGCGGAGGAAAGUAGGCCACCCGGGGCUCAGGUGAGAACAAGCACCAAGCCCUGUGGAUUUCAGAAGAACUCCACCUCCACGGAGUCCUCAAAGAUCUUCUCCUGAACUCCCCACUCCCCAGCCUUGAGAGGAGACACCGGAGCUGGAGGAAGCAGCUUUAUCCCUCACUUUGUGGUUCAGUCCAGCCUGUUUUCUAAGGAGUAAAGGGCAGUGGAAGGAUAACUAAGAAAAUAAUAAUAACAAAUGAAAGCAUCUCUGUGGA